CGAGCGGACCGACGGGAGCUUGCUCCCUUAGGUCAGCGGCGGACGGGUGAGUAACACGUGGGUAACCUGCCUGUAAGACUGGGAUAACUCCGGGAAACCGGGGCUAAUACCGGAUGCUUGAUUGAACCGCAUGGUUCAAUCAUAAAAGGUGGCUUUUAGCUACCACUUACAGAUGGACCCGCGGCGCAUUAGCUAGUUGGUGAGGUAACGGCUCACCAAGGCGACGAUGCGUAGCCGACCUGAGAGGGUGAUCGGCCACACUGGGACUGAAACACGGCCCAGACUCCUACGGGAGGCAGCAGUAGGGAAUCUUCCGCAAUGGACGAAAGUCUGACGGAGCAACGCCGCGUGAGUGAUGAAGGUUUUCGGAUCGUAAAACUCUGUUGUUAGGGAAGAACAAGUACCGUUCGAAUAGGGCGGUACCUUGACGGUACCUAACCAGAAAGCCACGGCUAACUACGUGCCAGCAGCCGCGGUAAUACGUAGGUGGCAAGCGUUGUCCGGAAUUAUUGGGCGUAAAGCGCGCGCAGGCGGUUUCUUAAGUCUGAUGUGAAAGCCCCCGGCUCAACCGGGGAGGGUCAUUGGAAACUGGGGAACUUGAGUGCAGAAGAGGAGAGUGGAAUUCCACGUGUAGCGGUGAAAUGCGUAGAGAUGUGGAGGAACACCAGUGGCGAAGGCGACUCUCUGGUCUGUAACUGACGCUGAGGCGCGAAAGCGUGGGGAGCGAACAGGAUUAGAUACCCUGGUAGUCCACGCCGUAAACGAUGAGUGCUAAGUGUUAGAGGGUUUCCGCCCUUUAGUGCUGCAGCAAACGCAUUAAGCACUCCGCCUGGGGAGUACGGUCGCAAGACUGAAACUCAAAGGAAUUGACGGGGGCCCGCACAAGCGGUGGAGCAUGUGGUUUAAUUCGAAGCAACGCGAAGAACCUUACCAGGUCUUGACAUCCUCUGACAACCCUAGAGAUAGGGCUUCCCCUUCGGGGGCAGAGUGACAGGUGGUGCAUGGUUGUCGUCAGCUCGUGUCGUGAGAUGUUGGGUUAAGUCCCGCAACGAGCGCAACCCUUGAUCUUAGUUGCCAGCAUUCAGUUGGGCACUCUAAGGUGACUGCCGGUGACAAACCGGAGGAAGGUGGGGAUGACGUCAAAUCAUCAUGCCCCUUAUGACCUGGGCUACACACGUGCUACAAUGGGCAGAACAAAGGGCAGCGAAGCCGCGAGGCUAAGCCAAUCCCACAAAUCUGUUCUCAGUUCGGAUCGCAGUCUGCAACUCGACUGCGUGAAGCUGGAAUCGCUAGUAAUCGCGGAUCAGCAUGCCGCGGUGAAUACGUUCCCGGGCCUUGUACACACCGCCCGUCACACCACGAGAGUUUGUAACACCCGAAGUCGGUGAGGUAACCUUUUGG
This 1401-nucleotide ribosomal RNA is filed under the name Bacillus licheniformis. Its description in RNAcentral is "bacterial SSU rRNA". It matches the Rfam family "Bacterial small subunit ribosomal RNA". The record is from RNAcentral. Lineage: Bacteria; Bacillati; Bacillota; Bacilli; Caryophanales; Bacillaceae.